This 787-nucleotide long non-coding RNA is filed under the name Homo sapiens (human). Its description in RNAcentral is "HSALNT0288267". Lineage: Eukaryota; Metazoa; Chordata; Mammalia; Primates; Hominidae. The record is from RNAcentral.
AACUCUUGUGUUGGAUCUGCCUAUGGGGGCAUUGUGACAUAUUUCUGCACUGAUCACCUAGGUGAUGGGACACUUGUCUAGGCUCUGUGUAUGGGGGCUUUGUGACAUAUCUCUGCACUGAACACCCAGGUGAUGGACUCUUGUCUUAGAUCUGCCUACAUGGACAUUGUCACACAUCUCUGAACUGAUCAACCAAGUGAUGAAACUCUUGUCUAGGCUCUGCCUACGGGGCUUUGUGACACAUCUCUGCACUGUUCACCCUGGUGAGGGAACUCUUGUCUACGCUCUGCCUACAGGAGGCUUUAUGACUUAUACCUGCACUGAUAACCUAUGUUAUGUUACACUUCUCUAGGCUCUGUCUACACGGGAAUUCUCACUUAUCUCUACACUGAUCACCUAAGUGAUGUAACCCUUGUCUAAGUUCAGCCUACUGGGGAUUUCUGACAUACCUAUGCACUGAUCACCGAGGUGAUGUAAAUCAUUUCCAGGCUUCUUGUACAGGGGACAUUGUGAUAUAUCUCUGCACUGAUCACGCAAAUGAUGCAAAUCUUCUCUAGGCUCCACAGGGAGGGGACAUUGUGCCAUAUUUCUGAACUGCUCAUCCAGGAUAUGUAACUAUUCUCCAGGCUUUGACUAACGAGCGUCGGAAGGUGUUGGGAGAGCCUCAACAGGAAUUUCAGGGACAGAAAAGGGCACAGAGAGGCCAGCGGGCUCCCUUGCACGUCAGCCGGAGUGCGCAAUGAGCGCAGGUCUAGCCAGGAGGCCGGCAAGGAGAGCUAGAGGUCUG